RNAcentral lists this transfer RNA (87 nucleotides) under Philonotis andina. RNAcentral's name for it is "transfer RNA Leu". It matches the Rfam family "tRNA". Rfam says of the family: Transfer RNA (tRNA) molecules are approximately 80 nucleotides in length. Their secondary structure includes four short double-helical elements and three loops (D, anti-codon, and T loops). RNAcentral also lists the same sequence under 1 other name. The record is from RNAcentral. Lineage: Eukaryota; Viridiplantae; Streptophyta; Bryopsida; Bartramiales; Bartramiaceae.
AGGGGGGUAUGGCGGAAUUGGUAGACGCUACGGACUUAAAAUCCGUUGGCUUUAUUGACCGUGAGGGUUCAAGUCCCUCUACCCCCA